Long non-coding RNA from Bos taurus (domestic cattle), 1084 nucleotides. NCBI's taxonomy places the organism in Eukaryota, Metazoa, Chordata, Mammalia, Artiodactyla, Bovidae. The record is from Ensembl.
CAACUAUCUGAGCCUGGACAAACACAAAACUGCAGUUCUUGUCUUCCCGCCCAUCUGGAGUGGGGACACAUCCUGCUACAUUGGCAAGACAUCAACCAGAGUUUAUAGGAGAGUGAACAAGAAUGAGCUCUUCUCCAAGUCUGGAGAAAAAUCCCUCCCAGGAUCUGAGGUCUGCUGCAAACCAGAGAGCAAAUGCCUUAUCGGUAGACAUAUAGUUAUACAGACAGCAAGGAGAUCCAACCAGUCAAUCCUAAAGGAACUCAACCCUGAAUAUUCAUUGGAAGGACUGAUGCUGAAGCUGAAGCUCCAGUACUUUGGCCACCUGAUGUGGAGAGCUGACUCAUUGGAAAAGAUCCUGAUGCUGGGAAAGAUUAAAGGCAGGAGGAGAAGGAAGUGACAGAGGAUGAGAUGGUUGGAUGGCCUCACCGACUCAAUGGACAUGAGUUUGAGCAAACUCUGGGAGAUGGUGAAGGACAGGAAAGCCUGGUGUGCUGGAGUCCAUGGGGUCACAGAGUCGGACAUGACUUAGCAACUGAACAACAACAACAAAUACAGACAUAAUAAUGAUAACAGCUGAUAUUGAGGGCUGACCAUGUGCCAAGCAGCAUUCCAACACAAUUUAGCACAUGAUACUCAAUUCAUCCUCACAAUUGACCUAUUAUUCCCAUUUUACAGAUGGUGAUACUGACAUAUAAAGGGGCCAAUGAAAAGCCCUAAAGUCACAUUACAGUAACAACUAGUAGAUGUUAGGUUCAAAUAACUGGCCCCUAAAGUCUGCUUGAUGGCACAGCCCGCAUUGCUAACUAUUAAGCUUGACUUGCUGCCUCUGGAAUGGUGUUUCUCAAAGCAAGUGAUGUGAACCUGCCAACAUUUGCCUUUGUGAUUCCCAUUCUCAGUCUUAUACCUGAUCUAGUCUUCAUGAAUGAUUAACUCAUUCAAUCAAACUAUAGAAAAAAUUGUGUCAUCAGGGACAAUGUACAAACAUCUUACAAGGCAAAAGGGCCUUGUUUGUACUGAGAUAUUUCUCCACUGGUCUUAGAGAGAUUCAAAUGGUUCUUCUACAGUGGGACAUCUUUAGUUUUAA